This 598-nucleotide ribosomal RNA is filed under the name bacterium 2f110309. Its description in RNAcentral is "bacterial SSU rRNA". It matches the Rfam family "Bacterial small subunit ribosomal RNA", at positions 325 to 933 of the family's 1533-position model. The record is from RNAcentral. RNAcentral also lists the same sequence under 1 other name.
CACGGCCCAGACUCCUACGGGAGGCAGCAGUGGGGAAUAUUGCGCAAUGGACGAAAGUCUGACGCAGCAACGCCGCGUGAGGGAUGACGGCCUUCGGGUUGUAAACCUCUUUCAGCAGGGACGAAGCGAGAGUGACGGUACCUGCAGAAGAAGGACCGGCCAACUACGUGCCAGCAGCCGCGGUAAUACGUAGGGUCCGAGCGUUGUCCGGAAUUAUUGGGCGUAAAGGGCUCGUAGGCGGUUCGUCACGUCGGGAGUGAAAACUCGGGGCUUAACCCCGAGCCUGCUUCCGAUACGGGCAGACUAGAGGUAGGCAGGGGAGAGCGGAACUCCUGGUGUAGCGGUGGAAUGCGCAGAUAUCAGGAAGAACACCGGUGGCGAAGGCGGCUCUCUGGGCCUUACCUGACGCUGAGGAGCGAAAGCGUGGGUAGCGAACAGGAUUAGAUACCCUGGUAGUCCACGCCGUAAACGUUGGGCGCUAGGUGUGGGGGACAUUCCACGUCCUCCGUGCCGCAGCUAACGCAUUAAGCGCCCCGCCUGGGGAGUACGGCCGCAAGGCUAAAACUCAAAGGAAUUGACGGGGGCCCGCACAAGCGGC